This 461-nucleotide ribosomal RNA is filed under the name uncultured Arsenophonus sp. RNAcentral describes it as "partial 16S ribosomal RNA". It matches the Rfam family "Bacterial small subunit ribosomal RNA", at positions 338 to 791 of the family's 1533-position model. Lineage: Bacteria; Pseudomonadati; Pseudomonadota; Gammaproteobacteria; Enterobacterales; Morganellaceae. The record is from RNAcentral.
CCUACGGGCGGCUGCAGUGGGGAAUAUUGCACAAUGGGCGCAAGCCUGAUGCAGCCAUGCCGCGUGUAUGAAGAAGGCCUUCGGGUUGUAAAGUACUUUCAGUCGUGAGGAAGGUGUUAAGGUUAAUAACCUUAGCAAUUGACGUUAGCGACAGAAGAAGCACCGGCUAACUCCGUGCCAGCAGCCGCGGUAAUACGGAGGGUGCGAGCGUUAAUCGGAAUUACUGGGCGUAAAGGGCACGCAGGCGGUUAAUUAGGUUGGGUGGGAAGUCCCGGGGUGUAACGGGGGAAUGGAUUUAAAAUUUGGUGGGCUAGAGUCUUGGGGGGGGGGGGAGAAUCCCAGGGGGAGGGGUAAAGGGCGUGGAGGGGGGGAGGAAGCCGGGGGGCGCGGGCGCCCCCCGGAAAAAAGGCUGCCGCUCAUGUGCAAAGGCGGGGGGAGAAAACGGUAUAAGAUACCGGGGU